This 334-nucleotide long non-coding RNA is filed under the name Triticum aestivum (bread wheat). RNAcentral describes it as "long non-coding RNA (TAES_LNC008008)". Lineage: Eukaryota; Viridiplantae; Streptophyta; Magnoliopsida; Poales; Poaceae. The record is from RNAcentral.
UCGAUGUCAGUUUCAUCCGGAGGUAGUUAAGCAUGAGCCUCCCAGCACCUCCCAGUUUAGUAUUGGGCACGUCAAGAAAGUUGCAGUUUGCUUCCAAAGUAAUCUCAUGCACUCAACUGAAAGGAAGAUUCUGAUCGUUCAAAUAUUGAGAUUUCAAGGCCUGAAUUGAAGAUAACUGGCAACUACACCAGACCUGGCCGCUGCCGCUACGUCCCCGAUCCACCCCCCACCAUCCAGGUUGAUCCAUGCACAGGAGACAACACCUCUUAACAAUACAGUUUUCUGUGUGUUUUCACUUCGAACUGAAUGACUGACAGUCAAAGUUUCAAUAGAG